This 119-nucleotide ribosomal RNA is filed under the name Pteropus alecto (black flying fox). Lineage: Eukaryota; Metazoa; Chordata; Mammalia; Chiroptera; Pteropodidae. The record is from RNAcentral.
GUCUAUGGCCAUGCCACCCUGAACAAGCCCAAUCCCAUCUGAUCUUGGAAGCUAAGCAGGGUCGGGCCUGGUUAGUACUUGGAUGGGAGACCACCUAGGAAGACCAGGUGCUGUAGGUA